Molecule: ribosomal RNA, 405 nt
Filed under: uncultured bacterium
Lineage: Bacteria
Description: partial 16S ribosomal RNA
Rfam family: Bacterial small subunit ribosomal RNA
Source: RNAcentral
AUUGAACGCUGGCGGCAGGACUAACACAUGCAAGUCGAACGAGUGGCGGACGGGUGAGUAAUGUCUGGGAAACUGCCUGAUGGAGGGGGAUAACUACUGGAAACGGUAGCUAAUACCGCAUACCAUAAGAUGUGCCCAGAUGGGAUUAGCUUGUUGGUGGGGUAACGGCUCACCAAGGCGACGAUCCCUAGCUGGUCAGAGCGGCUGACCAGCCACGCUGGAAUUGAGACACGGUCCAAACGCCUACGGGCGGCAGCAGUGGGGAUUAUUGCACAAUGGGCGCAAGCGUGAUGCAGCCAUGCCGCGUGUAUGAAGAAGGCCUUCGGGUUGUAAAGUACUUUCCGCGGGGAGGCGUUACCCGCAGAAGCAGCACCGGCUAACUCCGUGCCAGCCGCCGCGGUAAUC